Molecule: unclassified non-coding RNA, 304 nt
Filed under: plant metagenome
Description: partial contains 5.8S ribosomal RNA, internal transcribed spacer 2, and large subunit ribosomal RNA
Rfam family: 5.8S ribosomal RNA (bases 1-104)
Source: RNAcentral
AAAUGCGAUAAGUAGUGUGAAUUGCAGAAUUCAGUGAAUCAUCGAAUCUUUGAACGCACAUUGCGCCCUUUGGUAUUCCUUAGGGCAUGCCUGUUCGAGCGUCAUCUAAACCUUCAAGCCCUGCUUGGUGUUGGGUGCCUGUCCCGCCUCCGCGCGCGGACUCACCUCAAAUCCAUUGGCGGCCCCCGCGUCGGCCACGAGCGCAGCAGAAACGCGAACUCGUGAGCCCGUCCGGGCGGCUCCCAGAAGCUACACCCACCCAGUUUGACCUCGGAUCAGGUAGGGAUACCAGCUGAACUUAAGC